UUAGAAACACAUAUUUAGAGGGGUUUUAAAAAACCCCCUCAAAAAAAGUGUAAAUUUAUUUUUAUACUCAUCUAUUGAGUCUCGUGCUCUUCGGCAACCGAUCUCUUGCUCUCACCUUGGGUUUUGGCGGAGAGAUCCAUAGGUUAGCUCCGGCGAUGAUCUCCAAUCUUGUGAGAACCCUCUCCAAACCUCCGACUGGGUUCCGCCGAGGCCUCAACACCCUUGUCAGCUCACACAGCGCCAAAUGGAUGCAGGAUCUUGUAACAGCAGUUAUUGUGAACAUCAAGGUGAAUGCUCUAAAUCAGCAGGCCAGUACCCCCUACAAAGUCAAAUAUGGCACAACUUGCUUUUUGGAACUUCAUGGUGAAGGUUGAAGGGUGAUUGCAAGCAUGGUCAGCAUGGGCAUGCCGGCGGUUGAUGCAGUCAAGCUGGUGAAGCAUGGUGGAGGUUAUGGAUCCGUUUCUCUUGGCGUCAUGGUUGUUGUGUACUGUAGUAAUGGUGUGUUAAGGUGAAAUAGAGAGUAUUUAAUGCUUGAUAUCUCUUGGUUUGUACAUGACCAAUGAGAAGUCAUUUAGUA
This is a long non-coding RNA of Dioscorea cayenensis subsp. rotundata (Guinea yam), 577 nucleotides long. RefSeq lists it as uncharacterized. Lineage: Eukaryota; Viridiplantae; Streptophyta; Magnoliopsida; Dioscoreales; Dioscoreaceae. The record is from RefSeq and is a predicted model, not a curated record. The transcript is spliced from 3 exons.